Molecule: non-coding RNA, 74 nt
Organism: Aedes albopictus (Asian tiger mosquito)
Lineage: Eukaryota; Metazoa; Arthropoda; Insecta; Diptera; Culicidae
Source: Rfam
UGUUCUGUAGCUUAGUUGGUUAAAGCGCCGGACUAGCGAUAACGGAGUUGUGUGUUUGAGUCCCAUCAAAACAA